RNAcentral lists this ribosomal RNA (460 nucleotides) under uncultured bacterium. Its description in RNAcentral is "partial 16S ribosomal RNA". It matches the Rfam family "Bacterial small subunit ribosomal RNA", at positions 338 to 795 of the family's 1533-position model. The record is from RNAcentral.
ACUACGGGAGGCAGCAGUGGGGAAUAUUGGACAAUGGGCGAGAGCCUGAAGGAGCAAAGUAGCGUGGAGGAUGACUGCCCUAGGGGUUGAAAACUUCGUUUAUAAAGGAGUAAAUUGGUGCGCGUGUGUGUUUAUGUAUGUACGUUAUGAAUACGGAUAGACUAACUCCGUGCCAGCAGCCGCGGUAAUACGGAGGAUCCGAGCGUUAUCCGGAUUUAUUUGGUGUAAAGGGAACGUAGUUGGGUUUUUAAGUCUGAUGUGAAAGUUUGCGGCUUAACCGUAAAAUUGCAAUUGAUACUGGCAGUCUUGAGUACAGUUGAGGUAGGCGGAAUUCGUGGUGUAGCGGUGAAAUGCUUAGAUAUCACGAAGAACUCCGAUUGCGAAGGCAGCUCUCUAGACUGUCACUGACACUGAUGCUCGAAAGUGUGGGUAUCAAACAGGAUUAGAUACCCUAGUAGUC